Molecule: non-coding RNA, 117 nt
Filed under: Gorilla gorilla gorilla (western lowland gorilla)
Lineage: Eukaryota; Metazoa; Chordata; Mammalia; Primates; Hominidae
Source: Rfam by way of RNAcentral
GCUGGGUGUGGUGGCUCACACCUGUAAUCCCAGCACUUUGGGAGGCUGAGGCUGGUGGAUCACUUGAGGCCAGGAGUUCGAGACCAGCCUGGCCAACACGGUGAAAUCCUGUCUCUA